GGACUACUGGGGUAUCUAAUCCUGUUUGCUCCCCACGCUUUCGAGCCUCAACGUCAGUGAUCGUCCAGUAAGCCGCCUUCGCCACUGGUGUUCCUCCUAAUAUCUACGCAUUUCACCGCUACACUAGGAAUUCCGCUUACCUCUCCGACACUCUAGUUACAUAGUUUCCAAUGCAGUCCCGGGGUUGAGCCCCGGGCUUUCACAUCAGACUUACACAACCGUCUACGCUCCCUUUACACCCAGUAAAUCCGGAUAACGCUUGCACCAUACGUAUUACCGCGGCUGCUGGCACGUAUUUAGCCGGUGCUUCUUAGUCAGGUACCGUCAUUUUCUUCCCUGCUGAUAGAGCUUUACAUACCGAAAUACUUCUUCGCUCACGCGGCGUCGCUGCAUCAGGGUU
RNAcentral lists this unclassified non-coding RNA (400 nucleotides) under uncultured fungus. RNAcentral's name for it is "sequence contains ITS1". Lineage: Eukaryota; Fungi. The record is from RNAcentral.